This is a long non-coding RNA of Gasterosteus aculeatus aculeatus (three-spined stickleback), 1228 nucleotides long. The record is from Ensembl. Lineage: Eukaryota; Metazoa; Chordata; Actinopteri; Perciformes; Gasterosteidae.
ACGGGCGACUUGUUGCUCCACAUCGUUUCCACACAGAAAACGUACAAAAGAAAAGAAAAAGAAAGGAAGCGGCUUCCUGCACUGCGAGAGGACGCACCAAACUACGACUCCCAUGGUGCAACGCAGGAAGGCUCAACGCUGCGGCCCGGUCAGCUAGCAGCGGUUGAAGAUUACGCUUUGUGAAAAAACACAAAAAACUGCUGAAAACAUUUAGCAACUUCAUUCAGGUCAACUUGUGGCAACGUCGGGAAGAUUCAGCAACGAUGGCGACAUGAGGACAACGUGCAGAAGGGCUGUGACUGACAGCGGCCUCCUGGGCGAAAGUCACCCUUACGUACACACUCAUCUGUCACGCGGGUUUGACACAGGUUGCGUUACUUCUUUGCGGCUCCUGGCGGAGCUUUAAAGUGAGUUCCGAAGCAUUCGGGGAGGUGGAGGAGACCCAAGACGGAGCUAAAAGAGAGAGACUACAGCACUUCCAAUGAAUCUUCAUGUCACGACUGGAUGGGGAUGUGAAGUUUAAUACAUCACCUGAAAAGGUUGAUCAAGUGUCAAAAACAUUGUUUAACUGUAAUCGAGAGCGGAGGAGGAAAACUCUCCUCUACGACGCCGACUGUCAUUAAUUGUGGAAUGCAGCGAGAUUUGAAAACAAGAAAAGCUCCAUUCCUGAGCGGCACAAUCCGUCACUGUUUGGCCUCUUUAACUUUAACUCACCGAGCAACAAACCGCCUUGCGGACGCAGACGCGCCGCCACACAAACAGCGUUUAAUGAAAUAAAAGAGAAAUAAGUCACCGGACCCGCUGUGUCGUGACGAGGACGACUAAUUCUCGUCUGCUGGGUCACAAAUACAAACAUAAAGAAUAGUUUAGUCGCUCCGACAUAUUGCAGUUUAAUCUCCAAACAUCUCCAAAGUUGCACAAAUGAAGGCAAAGCGUCUCCAUGGCAACGACAGAAUCGGAUGCAAAAUUGCUCACGUGGGUCUUAGAGCUUUGAAGAUAGUUGUGACGAUAAAGUGACUCUUCAGACGCUACAAACACCCACAAGUUUAAACAAGAAGGAGGAAAAACACAGGACAGUUUUAUGACACUUCAACCUUCUUCAUCAGAUUAUUAAUUAGUCGAUUUAAUCGACGGGCAUCGGACUCCCUUCGACGGGAGGAGCGAGGGAAGAUAUCAGGUCCGACCCGUUCCGGUCCUCCGGGUCCGAACCCGCCCCCGGGCCAGGGUU